Long non-coding RNA from Rhipicephalus sanguineus (brown dog tick), 100 nucleotides. RefSeq lists it as uncharacterized. The transcript is spliced from 3 exons. The record is from RefSeq and is a predicted model, not a curated record. NCBI's taxonomy places the organism in Eukaryota, Metazoa, Arthropoda, Arachnida, Ixodida, Ixodidae.
AGUGCGAAGACUUUUCGACAAGUUGGAUUGCGCACUCUUCCCGUCGCCUGAAAUACCAUAUUAAGCCUUUGCUGAUUUCGAAAGGGUUCAAGACCAAAGG